Molecule: long non-coding RNA, 1774 nt
Organism: Heterocephalus glaber (naked mole-rat)
Lineage: Eukaryota; Metazoa; Chordata; Mammalia; Rodentia; Bathyergidae
Source: Ensembl
CUUGAAUACAUUAGCCAAACAAGUCUGAUAAAUUUGUUUAUCCCAAGACAAUCAUUAGAAAAUUACCUGCAAAAGUAAUUCUCAAUAGAGCAGUUUAUGAAUGGAAAGCCAUAUGGCUGAUAAAAACAGAAAUAAGCAAUGAAAUCUUUUGCGGGAUAUCACGAGUUAGGAAAGUUUUUCCUCUUUAAGCUUGAUCAUUUUGUACUAAAUCCCAAAAGCUCAGUAGCCUGAAGGCCAUUUUCCGUGAGCAGAAAAACCUUUCUCUAGUCGCUACUUGUCCCUCCAACCAAUUCUGCACACCUACUGUGGGCUAGCUCUGGUAUCCACUGGUGAACAUGAGCUGUCUCUGCCUCCCCGAUCCUGCAGUCCAAUGGGAGGAGACAGAUGUGUUAAUAGAUAAUUACAGCACACCACAAGGGUGGAACUAGAGAGCUCUGGGAGCAACUGACAGGAAUGGAUAACUAUUUUUCAGAACCAACAAAACCUUACUGUAGUGACAUUCAGACCAGGCCAAAAAAAAGAUGGAUGAGCAGGGCUUUUCCAAGAGAGAGAAUAUUCUAGGUAAAGAGAGGACCAUCAGAGAAGCACAUGGUUGACUCCUGGGUCGAAAAGAGCCUGGCACUGCAGGAUAUUGGCCACAUCUUAUUCCAGAAAAGGAAAUCACAAGUGUGGGCUGGGGCCAGGAUGAGGAACCACAGGGUGGCAUAAGCAUGGUCGGGUCUCGCGAAGAUGGAGAUGAUGAGGAUGGACAGGAGAAACCAAUUCAGAAGUUCUCUCUGAGGCUGAUCAUGAGAAUAAGGCUGUCUGUGUGCCCUCGGCAAUGCCCUGGCUCAGGAAAGAGAAGAUAAUGAACACUCAUCAGAUCUGGACACAGUCACCCUUCCACCGCCCAGGGGUCAGUUCAGUGAGCAAGAGACAGGGCUGGGUCCUCACAUGUGUGGGAGAUGUAAAAUGAGAACAGGUCCUGAGUCGCACGGAACAUGCUGAAUCAGCCCGCUGCAGAAAGGCAGGUCUGUGCACGCCCUACCACGGUCCUGAGUCACGCGGAAGACGCCGAAUCACCCCACUGCAGACAGGCAGGUCUGCCCGCACCCUACCGAGGUCCCCAGUUGCGCAGAACACAAGCCGAAUGAGCCUGCUGCAGACAGGCAGGUCUGUGCACGCCCUACCGAGGUCCUGAGUCGCGCGGAAGACACCAAAUCACCCCGCUGCAGAAAGGCAGCCACCUGAUUCCACACUACAAAGACGCAGAGGACACCAGACCACCAGACCAAGGUGCCUGUAACCAGCAAUGGAGUUUAGUGCUCUUCCAAAGGCAUCAACAGCCUGAGCACACUUCCUGUCUGUGGGCCCUCUCAUGUCACCCAUCGUCCCCGUUAGUGUGAUUGGCACUGCCUGAUGAUCACAUCUGCGUCACACAUCCUGUAGACCAUGUCCACAGUGGAAGCCGGGGCCCAUUUGACAGCAAGAGUCUACGCAGUCAUGAAGAUCUCCUUUGGUCCUAAUUAAAUGUGUCCUCUCUGAAAUAUGUGCCUGACAUUGAAAGUCUAGAGAUCAUGCUUUUCAACAAAGAAGUUGAAUUUCUCUGUCUUCUAUCCACUCCCUAUCAAUUACACAAUUUCCCGAGUUAUACAUCUUUUUCUUCUUUCCCCAAAUGUCCUUUUUGUAAUUUGUAGUGAUUAGUGAGGCCUACAUUUUAAAUUAACCCUCAUUUUGAUCUCUAAACAAGAUCAUGCUGUUUUUUUUGCAUGAAUCCUCAUCAGUCCAAGGACUC